UCCUUUUACUUUAAUGAACUGCAGCCCCACGUAUCAGGGCUUUUCUGAAUUUGGUGGGUCCUUCGAGAGAAUUAUUUAACUUAAAGGCAGUCUUGGAGAUCUCUUGAACUGCAUUUUUGAACAUGCAAUCUCUAAUAGCCAUUGGUCACUCUUCCUUUUAUGCAAACUCUGUUUCAAUUCUCUGCACAGAACUUUUUCCUUUGUAAACAGACUUCUCUGCAGGUUCACUGCUGUGUAUCCAGUGCCUUAGAGAAGCACCUGACACAGAGAAGGCAUUCGAAUCUGACUAAGAAAAUCCAGUACACAAACUGCAUUGGUUUCCACCAUCUCAGGUAAAAGACCUGGUGGGCCAACCAUCCCAUAAGAGAACCCAAACUAAACCUUCAAGCUACAGGUACUAUGCUGGCACCAGCAAGAACCCCUGUGAUUGACCUCAAGACAACGAUGGACCUGACCUGCAUGUACCCACCUAUCUUGGCCCCACAUUCCCCUUAUCUAAAUCCAGAAGUAGUCUCAUCAUUUUGGAGACAGUCUUUGAGAUGUUCGUCCCAGUGUUGACCUCAUUGCAAAUAAAUUCCUUUUUGCUUCA
Molecule: long non-coding RNA, 589 nt
Organism: Canis lupus familiaris (dog)
Lineage: Eukaryota; Metazoa; Chordata; Mammalia; Carnivora; Canidae
Exons: 3
Source: RefSeq, a predicted model, not a curated record